UACGGGGGGUGCAAGCGUUAUCCGGAUUCACUGGGUUUAAAGGGUGCGUAGGUGGGCAGGUAAGUCAGUGGUGAAAUCUCCGGGCUUAACUCGGAAACUGCCAUUGAUACUAUCUGUCUUGAAUACCGUGGAGGUCAGCGGAAUAUGUCAUGUAGCGGUGAAAUGCUUAGAUAUGACAUAGAACACCAAUUGCGAAGGCAGCUGGCUACACGAAUAUUGACACUGAUGCACGAAAGCGUGGGGAGCGAACAGG
RNAcentral lists this ribosomal RNA (253 nucleotides) under uncultured bacterium. RNAcentral's name for it is "partial 16S ribosomal RNA". It matches the Rfam family "Bacterial small subunit ribosomal RNA", at positions 524 to 776 of the family's 1533-position model. The record is from RNAcentral.